CAGGGAGACAACAAAAUGUUUAAUAUUAUUAUUUUGUCACCUUAGGUCGAUCGGUAUCUCACGUUCUUAAUUUGUUAAGGAUUUCAUUUCCUAAGUUUUUCUAGGUCACACCCAUUAUUUUUCCUGGGCCAUUAGCUCAGGUGGUUAGAGCGCACCCCUGAUAAGGGUGAGGUCCCUGGUUCAAGUCCAGGAUGGCCCAUAUCUCUAUGUUGGGGGUAUAGCUCAGUUGGUAGAGCGCCUGUUUUGCAAGCAGGAUGUCAGCGGUUCGAGUCCGCUUACCUCCACUGAUUACCACCUCUUCCAUAACUGGUAGAAAGGAAAUGUUUUGAGUUGUGAUUAUUAUUCUGAACGAAUCUAGCUUCCUAAUGAAAUCAUUAAAAUGCUGGACUCAUUGAAUUAAUUUCAUUGUUUUCAGAGAACCUUGACAACUGCAUAUAUUUUUUUAAAGACAAUAAGCAUCUUUAAUGAUGCAGAUUUAUUAUUUGUGCGAAUGCAUUAAUAACAAUUCUAUUAAGCUGAUGCUUCAAUUUUUGAAGUUAUU
Molecule: transfer RNA, 541 nt
Filed under: uncultured Prochlorococcus sp.
Lineage: Bacteria; Bacillati; Cyanobacteriota; Cyanophyceae; Synechococcales; Prochlorococcaceae
Description: partial 16S-23S ribosomal RNA intergenic spacer
Rfam family: tRNA (bases 212-284)
Source: RNAcentral